Molecule: unclassified non-coding RNA, 281 nt
Organism: Callithrix jacchus (white-tufted-ear marmoset)
Lineage: Eukaryota; Metazoa; Chordata; Mammalia; Primates; Cebidae
Rfam family: Metazoan signal recognition particle RNA
About the family: The signal recognition particle (SRP) is a universally conserved ribonucleoprotein.
Source: Ensembl
GAGUGGCGUAGCGGUGCACUUGGAGAGCUGAGGCAGGAGGAUUCUUGAGCCCUGGAGUCCUAGGCUGCAGUGUGUUAUGUCCAUCAGGUGUCUGCACUAAAUUGAGCAUCAAUAUGGUGACCUCCCAGGAGGGAGUGGGGGACUACCAGGUUGCCCAAGAAGGGGUGAACCAGCCAGUUGGAAAUGAGCAUCUCAAAAUGUCAGUGCUGAUCAGUAGUGAGAUUGCACCUGAGAACAGCCACUGUGCUUCAGCCUGGGCAACACAGAGACACCCAUCUCUU